CAGUAGCCGCGGUAAUACGUAGGUGGCAAGCGUUGUCCGGAAUUAUUGGGCGUAAAGGGCUCGCAGGCGGUUUCUUAAGUCUGAUGUGAAAGCCCCCGGCUCAACCGGGGAGGGUCAUUGGAAACUGGGAAACUUGAGUGCAGAAGAGGAGAGUGGAAUUCCACGUGUAGCGGUGAUAUGCGUAGAGAUGUGGAGGAACACCAGUGGCGAAGGCGACUCUCUGGUCUGUAACUGACGCUGAGGAACGAAAGCGUGGGGAGCGAACAGGAUUAGAUACCCCAGUAGUCCCUGUCUCUUAUAC
This 301-nucleotide ribosomal RNA is filed under the name uncultured bacterium. RNAcentral describes it as "partial 16S ribosomal RNA". It matches the Rfam family "Bacterial small subunit ribosomal RNA", at positions 509 to 807 of the family's 1533-position model. The record is from RNAcentral.